Molecule: ribosomal RNA, 253 nt
Filed under: uncultured bacterium
Lineage: Bacteria
Description: partial 16S ribosomal RNA
Rfam family: Bacterial small subunit ribosomal RNA
Source: RNAcentral
UACAGAGGGGGCAAGCGUUGUUCGGAAUUACUGGGCGUAAAGGGCGCGUAGGCGGCCUUCUAAGUCGAACGUGAAAUCCCUGGGCUCAACCCAGGAACUGCGUCCGAUACUGGGAGGCUUGAAUCCGGGAGAGGGAUGUGGAAUUCCAGGUGUAGCGGUGAAAUGCGCAGAUAUCAGGAGGAACACCAAUGGCGAAGGCAGCUCGCUGGAACGGUACUGACGCUGAGGCGCGAAAGCGUGGGGAGCGAACAGG